UUGACCGUGCGAAGGUAGCGCAAUCACUUGUCCUUUAAAUGAAGACCUGUAUGAAUGGCACGACGAGGGCUUUACUGUCUCCUUUUUCCAGUCAGUGAAAUUGAUCUCCCCGUGCAGAAGCGGGGAUUAAUACAUAAGACGAGAAGACCCUAUGGAGCUUUAAACUCUAAGGCAGACUAUGUUAAACACUCUCGAAUAAGAGACCAAACAGUAUGGACACUGCCCUCAUGUUUUUGGUUGGGGCGACCCUGGGGAAUAGAAAAACCCCCAUGAAGACAGGGAGAACAAACUCCUACAAACAAGAGCCACCGUUCUAGUUCACAGAACAUCUGACUUAUAAGAUCCGGCUUUGGCCGAUCAACGGACCGAGUUACCCUAGGGAUAACAGCGCAAUCCUCUUUUAGAGCUCAUAUCGACAAGAGGGUUUACGACCUCGAUGUUGGAUCAGGACAUCCUAAUGGGUGCAGCCGCUAUUAAGGGUUCCGUUUGUUCAACGAUUAAAGUCCUACGUGAUCUGA
This 518-nucleotide ribosomal RNA is filed under the name Gerres erythrourus. RNAcentral's name for it is "partial 16S rRNA". It matches the Rfam family "Bacterial large subunit ribosomal RNA", at positions 1942 to 2608 of the family's 2925-position model. Lineage: Eukaryota; Metazoa; Chordata; Actinopteri; Gerreiformes; Gerreidae. The record is from RNAcentral.